RNAcentral lists this small RNA (70 nucleotides) under Flavobacterium dankookense. RNAcentral describes it as "Flavo-1 RNA". The record is from RNAcentral. Lineage: Bacteria; Pseudomonadati; Bacteroidota; Flavobacteriia; Flavobacteriales; Flavobacteriaceae.
UUUUAGCCCUGAUGCAAGGGAAAAGCCUCGCCUUUUUUUGGCGAGCUUUGGAAAGGCAGCAGGAAAAUGG